CCUACGGGGGGCAGCAGUGGGGAAUAUUGGACAAUGGGGGGAACCCUGAUCCAGCCAUGCCGCGUGUGUGAAGAAGGCCCUCGGGUUGUAAAGCACUUUCAGUGAGGAAGAACGCCUGGUGGUUAAUACCCAUCAGGAAAGACAUCACUCACAGAAGAAGCACCGGCUAACUCCGUGCCAGCAGCCGCGGUAAUACGGAGGGGUGCGAGCGUUAAUCGGAAUUACUGGGCGUAAAGCGCGCGUAGGUGGCUUGAUAAGCCGGUUGUGAAAGCCCCGGGCUCAACCUGGGAACGGCAUCCGGAACUGUCAAGCUAGAGUGCAGGAGAGGAAGGUAGAAUUCCCGGUGUAGCGGUGAAAUGCGUAGAGAUCGGGAGGAAUACCAGUGGCGAAGGCGGCCUUCUGGACUGACACUGACACUGAGGUGCGAAAGCGUGGGUAGCAAACAGGAUUAGAUACCCCUGUAGUC
Molecule: ribosomal RNA, 466 nt
Filed under: Vreelandella stevensii
Lineage: Bacteria; Pseudomonadati; Pseudomonadota; Gammaproteobacteria; Oceanospirillales; Halomonadaceae
Description: partial 16S ribosomal RNA
Rfam family: Bacterial small subunit ribosomal RNA
Source: RNAcentral